UGGGGAAUUUUCCGCAAUGGGCGAGAGCCUGACGGAGCAAUACCGCGUGAGGGAGGAAUGCCUUUGGGUUGUAAACCUCUUUUCUCAGGGAAGAAGAUCUGACGGUACCUGAGGAAUAAGUAUCGGCUAACUCCGUGCCAGCAGCCGCGGUAAUACGGAGGAUGAAAGCGUUAUCCGGAAUCAUUGGGCGUAAAGCGUCCGCAGGUGGUUUCCAAAGUCUGCUGUUAAAGACUGGAGCUCAACUCCGGAACGGCGGUGGAAACUUGGAAACUAGAGUUCGGUAGGGGUAGCAGGAAUUCCCAGUGUAGCGGUGAAAUGCGUAGAUAUUGGGAAGAACAUCGGUGGCGAAGGCGUGCUACUGGACCGUAACUGACACUCAGGGACGAAAGCUAGGGAGCGAAAGGGAUUAGAUACCCCUGUAGUCCUAGCUGUAAACGAUGGAAACUAGGUGUGGCUUGA
RNAcentral lists this ribosomal RNA (459 nucleotides) under uncultured marine microorganism. Its description in RNAcentral is "bacterial SSU rRNA". It matches the Rfam family "Bacterial small subunit ribosomal RNA", at positions 355 to 830 of the family's 1533-position model. The record is from RNAcentral.